AUAUAGCAAUUUAGGGAAUCUGUUAACCUCAACUGGCAACGUUUCCACCAAGGAAUCACUCAAGUCUAAGAACUCUAGGUUUUGCAGCUUUCCGAUUGAUUUUGGAAGAUGUGACACCCGUGUAUCUCUUAAGCUUAAAUACUUCAGGUGUAGCAAAUUUCCCAACUCUUUUGGAAUUUCAUCUAUCGGACACUUUUCAAAAUCUAAUGUGGUCAAAAGCUUACAUUUUUCAAAUAUUGCAUCAAUUAUUGGCUUUUGCAGCUUUGCCCCGCAGAAGACCAUGACAGAGCGAGUUUGAGACCUGGUGCUUCCCUUUGGAUUGUCACUUCCUCCCUUGCUUAUGGACAUGUGCGUGCUAUGCCUUUCAAAGCUGAGGAAUUCCAAGAAACAUGGCCGAAACUUAGUUCUUCUGACCUGGAAAGAAUGACGUCUCGUACCAGAUCAUGCACUCGACAUGUUUUGGGAAUUCCUUUCAUGCUAGCUUCAUCUACUUGGACUAGACUUCGACGAAUGAGUCCAUUCAAGCACUCUUCCGCGGCUUCUUCUAAUGUCAAUCCUCGUUUUUCCUGUACAAAACCUUGAGCCACCCAUAACCGAAUUAUUCUUGUACGUUUGAUGGAGAAAUCUUCGGGAAGCAUCCCGAAAUACAAGAAACAUGCUUUGAGGUCGUAAGGAAGGUCGUGAAAACUGAGGGAGAGAAUUUUAGUGACAUUCUCAACAUGAGGAUCACUCGCCAUUGUAGAAUCAAGACUAUUGACCACUUUUUGCCAUUCUGGAAUGACCCUUUCUUUGGUUGCUAGAAGUCCACCAACAGCCACAAUUGCCAGUGGCAAUCCUCCGCAUCUUCUAACAAUGUCUUGCGACAAUUCCUCCAAAUCUUUUGGACAAUUCCCUUCAAAAUCAAACUUGAAUGCCUUUUUGCAGAAGAGUUCCCAAGCUUCUCGUUGAGGGAGAGAUUUCAUCUGAUAGACAUGAACCAAUGAAGAUCUCCUGCAAAAGUUAGCAACAUCCUCAUUUCUUGUCGUGACCAGUAUUUUGCUACUUUGUUGUUAUCCACCAAGGCAUGCUCCACAUCUCCCCAGAAGCGGAUUUCCCACACAUCAUCGAAUACAACUAAAUACCGUUCUUGCUGUAAAUAUUUUCUAAGUUCAUCAAUCAACGAUAAAGCGUCCAUUGUGACAAAGGCCUCAGGAAAAGGCUCUUUCUUAGCUUCAUAUAAUUUCUUUAACGUGCUCCUUAAGAGUUCCACCCUGUCGUAUGAUUGAGACACAGUAAUCCAAGCACGGCAUUGAAAGUGUUGUUUCACUACGUAGCUGUCAUAUACUUUCUUUGCAAGAGUGGUUUUUCCCACUCCUCCCAUUCCAACCACCGCGAUCGCUGUCCUCUGACAUUCUCCGCUUACCAAGAGGCUUAUCAAUUCAUCUUUUGUAGAUUCAAUGCCUACAAGCUCGGAAUCUUCAAUGAAAUGAGAACCUAAUCGAGGAUCAUGCAAGACAAUGUUACUUGAGCCUCCUUGCUCUGAAGAUGCGAACCGGAAGCCUUCACUUCUGUCCUUGAUUCUCUGAAGAGUUUUUCUAACACCAUGAAUCUCUGAUGCGAUCUUAUGGCGUAGAGGCAAUUUCCGAACCAAGGAAGAGACUUUAGUUAAGAAGCCCACGAGCACACGCCGAUCACGAUGUUGUGCCACAUGAAGCGUAUUAUAUUCGUCAAUGACAUCUUCAAUCUGAUAAGCAACUUCCCUUGCUUGCUUUACCCAUACUUUCACACCUUCGCUCGCACCUUCUCUCUCAGCCUUUGAGUCUGCAUCUUUCAGAAAAGCUCUGAUGGCCUCCAGAUCAUCUUUGAUAUCUACAACUUCUUUGUGAACACCUUUCAGUAGUUGCACCCCUUGAGCUAGCAAUGGAGCCAACUUGUCAAUUACAAGACUCACUGCUGACUCUGCCAUUUUUUCUACUCCUUUCUAUUUGAUCUUCUUUGCUGCGAGAACAAAUUUUGAAUUUAGGUUGAAGUAAUUAAAUUAUUGUAGGUUGGUCAUAUUACAAAAUUAUUGUAACUGAGUGUACCAGCCUUGUAUAUCUUCGGUGAUUCCACCAUAGAUAUAACAAAGUUAUACCAGUUACUUGUUUCAAGAUUAUUUACCAAAUAUACCUUCAACGUAUUUUUAUCAAAAUUAUUUCCUUUUUUCAAAAAAAAAAAAAGCCUUUAAAUUAUGAUCUAAAAUCCGAAGUCUAUUUUCAUAAAUAAUUUCAAACGAACUCUAAAUUCAUAUAUUAAUGUAGAAAUUGAAAAUGAAAGAAAGCUUAUCUAUUACAAUUCACAACGUGUAAUAAAAAGACAAACCUCAUAUGAUCUCCAAUCCGAAUAUAGCUUUUAGAAUUCAGCUACACACCAAUAUUUUGAAUUUAGGCUCCUUGAAGUAAUUAAAUUAUUGUAGGUUGGUCAUGUUACAAAAUUAUUGUAACUGGUUGUACCAGCCUUGUAUAUCUUCGGUGAUUCCACCUUAGAUAUAACAAAGUUAUACCAGUUGAUUGUUUCAAGAUUAUUUACCAAAUAUAACUUCAACUUAUUUUUAUCAAAAUUAUUUCCUUUUUUUAAAAAAAAAAAACGCCUUUAAAUUAUGAUCUAAAAUCACAAGUCUAUUUUCAUAAAUAAUUUCAAACGAACUCUAAAUUCAUUUAUUAAUGUAGAAAUUGAAAAUGAAAGAAAGCUCAUCUAUUACAAUUCACAACGUGUAAAAAAAAAAAAAAAAAAAAAAAGACAAACCUCAUAUGAUCUUCAAUCCGAAUAUAGGUUUUAGAAUUCAGUACACACCAAUAUCCCUUUUUUAUAUUUAAAAGAGUUAGUUUGCUGAGAAGUUAUGGAUUUGGUUCGAGCAGGAGGAAGGAGACCAUCUGAUCCACCGUCGCCAUAAUUAAGUGCUUGCUGCUUCAACUCCUCGAUCUCUGUGAUAUACGGGUGCUCUCUCUCCCGUGCUCUUUCUGUUUUCGUUGUGCAGUGAACCAACUUAAGUACGCUGUGAAUUAAUGGCUAGAAUUGUCCAGUGUUGUGUGGAAGUUUAUAUGGUUGCUCCAGCAGAUAAAAUUAAUUUUAGACAUUUCUUUAAAAAAUGUGAACCACGAGAGCCUUUAUAAAAAUCAGAACUUUCUUUUCUUUUGAAAAAGUUAAAGAGAUAAUUUCAAAUUAUAUAGAUAUAUAAUUUGGCCUCCUAGUGGUUGAGGAAGAUCAAAUAUAUAAGAUUGAAAAUUUUAACAGUAUAUUUUCAAUUAAUAAAAGUUUUAUUGGCAAAAAAAAUCCAAUUAGAGGAUGAAAAUUCAAAAUUAGAUAUUUAAGGACUCAAUUGGAAUUUUCAGGGUUUAUUUGAAUUUAUUGAGGGCUUAAUUGCAAGAAAUUGAUUUUUAAAGUCAAUAUAGGCUUUAAUUAGAAGAAAUUAAAGUCUGGGGGUUGAGUUGCAAUUUUUAGGAGUUAAUUUGGUCAGGUCAGAGGCUUAAUUGCAUAAAUAUUAAAGCUUGACGGGCAAUUAGGAACUUGAUUGAAGAAAUUCAAAACCAAGAACCAAAUUGAAAAAGGCGCGUUAAUAUAUAUAAGAGUUGAAAGUGACCCAAUCGAGGGAUAAAUUGAAGAAAUUUAAAGUUGUUAGUCAAUUGAAGGUUAAAAUGAAAAAAUUCAGAAUCAAGAAUCAAAAUAAAAAAAAAACGGUCAAUUAGAGGUUGAUAAUUGAGUUUGUCAGUGGUGAAAUUGCUUAAAAUUAAAAGUUUGAAAGUUAUUAUGGGUGCAAUGAAAAGAAAUUGCGAAGGAAUUGGAGCUUCAUUGAAAUUUAUCAAUCCCAAUUUAAAUACCCUAAAUGAAACGUCGUUGAGACUUAAAGAAGAGAAACUGAGUGACAUGUCGAUUGACCUUUGUUUUUUUACAGUUUUGACUGAUCGAGUUGACAACUUCAAAUGUUUGAAUAUGAAGCUACAAAUCUUCAAAUUGAGCAAAGUUAAAUUUAAAUGAAAUGUGUGUAUUCCCUCUAUCAAUUCAGGUGGUUUCUAGCGAUGAUGACAUCAGAAUUCCUCUGACGAAGCCUUGAAAGUGGGCAACCAAGACAAACAUAACAAUACAACUAUCAUGUAAAAACUGAUCUAUUUUUCAUGUGUUCAUACACAAAACCUUCUCAAUGGGUCCAUAUCAAGGGUUUAUAGCACUUACCUUAAGAUCAAGAGGUCAAAAUAGGUUUAAAACCUCCUAAAACCUUAACAAAACCCUAUAAAUAUCCCUCAAGCUUAAAGACAGACGAGGAGGAUAAAAAAAGAGAAAUAUCAAUAAAAAAACAUAAGUGUAGAAUUCCUAGAGCCUAAACAAAAGAUUUCUUAGCUUUACAAGUUUAUGAGAGGUAAAAAAUUCCAAAAGAAAACAAAUAUAGAGUAGUUGUUUUAGGUUUAUUUUUUAAAUCCAAAAGGAGGUCAUCUAUGACCUGCUUUUGAUGUUUUUUUUAUUUACUUUUGUUUUAUAUUUAUGUUUAUAAGAAAAGAAAAAAGGUUUGAAAGCUUAACAAGUAAUCUUGUAUUCACCUUUUGUUGUUGUGUUUUUUCUUUUCAAUGAUGUUUAUUUUGAAGAUUUUUUUUAUGUUUUUAAUACAAUAAAGUUGUUGUUUAAGUUUUAUAUAUAUAAUGUUUUUUUUUUUUACCUUAAGCUAUGCAUGUUAAAGUAAAGAUGUUUUACCAUGAGUUUGCUAGGUCUACUCAUUUAUAAAAUGGGUUUAGAAAAUCAAUUUUGAAUCCAUGUUGUGUAAACAUAUAGUCUGUUUUAAAUUUAUGUUUUCUUUAUUUGGUAUCUCUUACUUGAUUUUGAUGUUUUGAUGUUUUUGUUAGUUUUUCGUUAGUUUUUCAUAUUCAAACAUGUUUUAUAUAAUAUUGUAACUUGUUGGGAUAAAAAAAAAGUAUGUUUUAGAAGCUAAAACUACUCAUAUUUGUGCUUGGCAAUGAUUGUCAUUUCAAGGCAUUUUUCUGAGUUUUAGGCAAUGUUCUUUUUAUUCUUGGGAAGAAAAUUGUCUUAGCCUCUAGAUUUGGAUCAAUUUUGGUCCAUUUCUUUGCACAUACAUUUUUUUUAUGCAUGAUAAAAAAAAAAGUAUGUGUUUGUCAAUUUCUAUUACAAAUUAAUUUUAAUUGACAAAUUCAUUAAACCUGUGUUGCACCAUUAAAUAUCUUGAUUUAUAUUUAUUUUUUAAUUUUUACAAUUUCACUUUUAUUUAUUAUCAAUUUAUUUUUUUUAUUGAAUUAUCUCGACCUCGUGAUCUAGGUCACUAAUAAACAUGUAAUCUUCAUAUAUUUCAUGUACAAAUUAUAAAUUUCAUGUGUUAACCCAACUUUACCUCGAAUAAUAUUUUUUUAUUUACAUUUUAUUGUAAUAAUCUUUUUUUUUUUUUAUCAUAUUAUCAUGUUAUCAAAUUAAUCAAAAUUUAACUCAAUUAUAGAAUCUCUCACACUUUUUUAAAAACAUUAUCAUUUCUUCUUCUUCUUUUCAAGUUUAAAAAAAAAAAAUUGAUCAUGCCCCGACAGCGCGCAGACCAUCAAUCCAGUGAAGGCAUGAACAACUAUAGAUAUCAUAGGAUUUGGAUACUCUCAUGUUCCAAGGAACAUGAUAUAACAUUCACAAUUGCUACGUAUUCAACAUCCAUGUAAGUCUAAUGCACUGUCAGUUCCUUGACUCUGUAUGACAUCUAACCAUUUGAAAGAAAUUUCCCUUCUAUUUAUUAGAUUCAGCAGUACAGUCCUUGCUAGAAUGAACCAAUAGCAACAGUGUUUAAAUUUUAGGCACAAAAAGCUAUAGUUCAUGUCCAUCAAGUCUUAAACUUCAUAGUUCGGCUCUGUCGAGUUUGAAAAUAUUACAUAUUUAUGCUUGUAUUGAAUAUAGAACAGCUAUUAAGCUAGAGUGGGGCUGUAAGAUUGCCAAAUAUGUAAAUUUUCAAGUAAAUGACCUUUCCAUGUCUUAUAAGCCCCAAAGAACAGAAAAGAAUCACAUUAUAAUGAAGAAGACUACUUCACCAGUAAGAUGAGUACUGAAGGAAAAUAGCUUACUCAAUCAUAAGGUUAUUGUCUUCCUUUAAAUAAAAACCUGCACGAGGAAAGUUGAAUAUGAUCCGAUCAAACUUCUGCAUCCUCAAAGUUAAGUGAUGCUUCAUUUUUGUUGCAUCCACUCCAUAUAAUGUAGAUGCUCCUAACUCCUUUAAAGAUUCCAAAUUUGAUUUUGCUUUCUUGUAUUUCUGGAUCACGACAUCUAAUAGAGGUGGAGGAAAAAAAUGAAAACAACUAGUAUCUGAUGUUUUGAUGAAUAGUGUUUCACCCAUUUCUCCUUAUCUUCUCCUUUUCCAAUAUCCACUUGUUUCACUGCCUGUUUAUCAGCCAUCAUUGGACUCUCUUUAGUAAAUACAGUCUGAUUUUUUAAGAGAAAUUCAGUGUAUGAUCACCGUAUAGGCCAGAUGAAUUUGUCACUGCAGUCCAACUUUAGUAGAGUGGUGGGCUUUUGUGGUGGUGAGCUAAAGAAGGGUAUCUUUAGAGAUGGUGGACUAAAGAGGGGUAGUUUGGGAAGGAAAAGAACAUGCAAGUUUGCUGCUUUAUGUGGGACACUGCUUCUCCUACAGGGACAUGAAUCAAUGAUCAUUGAUUUGACUAAAAACUAUUACAGGAGGAGCACCUGAAGCUGCUAUCCUGUUUCGAGUCCAAAUUUGUAACUUAGGUCAUACAAGCCCAUGGAAAAUGUAUCAGAAAACAACAAAUUGGCCAUGGGCUUGUGGUGGCCUAGGCUAAAGAAAGGGAAGAUGAACAAAAUUCAGUUUUUGGAUGCAAACCCUGGUAUGUAACCUAGCCAUUUGAAACACGUUUUCAGAUCUGCACCAAAAUAAUCUUCACAUGAAAAUAAAUAUGACAAUCAGCGCUGUCAAAAUACCACUUACCACUGCUGUCCCGCUUGGUCCACCUUUGAAGAAGCUAAGUUUUCCUUAUAUUGGUUUCAUUAUCUUAGUCAGAUCACGGCAUUUAUCUUUUAACUUUCCACUAAAUGUUUUCUUAAUGCAGUAUAACUUCCCAGUCCAGAGCUGAUAUCAUAUUCCAGUACUAUCUUAAAUUUAAUAUAACCAAAUCAUAGCCAUUGGAUCAGUAGGAUUUUGAAUCAUUGGUCACCAACUUAAAAGGUCCAAAAUACAAAAGUACUUGAAGAAACAGUUUAGAAACUUGAGCCUUUUGCGUGACCAUUUCUUUAGCAAUUUCUUAUACAGCAGUGCAUAUUCAAAAGCAAAGGGCAAUUCAAACAAAAACAGCUGUGAUUUCCAACUUUAAAUCCACUUACACAUCCUUUCGCCAAUCUCAAAAAAACAAUUGUUGGCCCACUACCCAAACUUUACUUACUCCACAUCCUAAUAUACUUAAAGAAACAACAAUUUUAAUCUCCAUCUUCUCCAACUAAACUUGCUUUAGAAGUUUUUUCCUUCAAAAAACCUAGAGAUGCUUUCACUCCCUCCUCCACCACCCUUGCCGCUGCCCCCAGAAGCAGCUCCACCACUAGAAAAGCGAAGCUUUCCAGUCUCUCUCAAUCAGAUUGUUAUAUCAAAGCAAGCCAGAAAUCCACAAAGUUAUUCAGCAGAGACAUCAAAUUCAGACAGCAAGAAAGUAAGCAAGCCAAUCCAAGUGGCAAUCCAUUUGAUCAAGUACGCAUAACUUUUAAAGAUGAUGGACUGGAAACUGGAAUGGAAUUAAUAGAAAGAAAAAUGAUAACUGCACACGCGCGCGCGUGCACACACACAUGCACACAUCUCUUAACUUCUAAUGCCAGAGUUACGAACACUAAUUAACAAAACCAAGAGCGUAAGGCUGGUUUUACCACUACUCUGACAUUCUUUUCAUUCACAUCUUCAAGCAAUCAUGUACAAAGUUGAUUAAUUCUCCCUAUAAACACUAAACAAACCCCCUUGUUCCCUCUCGAUGCCUCCCGCUGCUAAAAGGUUGAUUAAUUCUCUGACGUCCGUGGGACGUAUAUGGAUUUCAAUGCAUGAAAAUUUCUGGGAAUCUUCCAAACUCAGACAUUGGGACUUCGUUAACAGAGUUGCUCUAGGGCGUAAAACCUCUGUUACAUGUUCCAAAUGAGUGACUAGCACCUUCCAUCGUGAUAUCAACAGCCAAAGGUGUCAGCCUGUAGUCUAAGUCUUUUGAAUUCAUGCUGAAAGUUGUUUGAGGAAUUCCUCAUUCAAAUGUGAUUUUCUGACGUUUCCAUAUUUCAAUUGGAUUACCCUGAAGCUGCCGUGAUCCAGUUAGUUUAGAGUGAAUAUAUAUAUAUAUAUAUAUAUAUAUAUAUAUAUAUAUAUAGAACACAAUUGAAAGAUAAAAGUGCUUACCAAUUAGCUAGUGAAGGGAACAGGUAGAACCUGAACAUCAUCGAUAUUACCUACCACAAAGAAUGGAAGAACGCUGAUAAUUGAAUUUGAAUUCUAACGAGUAAAAAGAAUGAGGAAAUUCGAGAAAUAAUUGAAGAGCGCUGAUAAUGUAUUAGGAUUGCUAUAAGAAACGAGUUGGUUUAGAGUGAAUAUCAUUUAACUUCGCAUUACCUGUAGUAUCAUAAACCCUUAAGCCAGUUGGGUUAGCUACCCAAACCAGAGCUUCAUCCGUGCUUCAUAAGAACUUCCAUCAUCAGGAUCGUAAGUGCCGUCGUAUUGGAGAACUGGUACAUGUUUCACUAUCCAGUGGUCUUGGGCCUCUUGGCCAUUAUUGGGUGACAAUCUCUCAUUGAACUCAUCUGACAUCUUUGCCAGUGAUAGCUGUUUGAGAUUUUUCAAGUGUUGUAUCCCAGAAGGCACCUCCUUCAGACUCUGGCAGAAACCUAUUUCUAGUUUUUCAAGAAGGGGGAUUGCUCCUUGGUCUAUUAUUAUUGUAUUCAAUUCAGUCAAGCCUGCAAGACGUAGAGACUUGAGUUUCUGAAACCCUCCUCCUUCAAAAUGCAUCUUCUCUCCAUUGUAUGCACGAAGGAACCUAAGAAAUCUUAAAUUGGGCAAAGCUUGUAGGACUUUAAUCGAAUCACCAUCCAUCAACAUACUAACAGUCAAUCUCAAUUUAGCUAGAUUGUGCAGUCUGGAAAUCCACUCAGGCAGCCUUUCUAGUUUCCCCCAAAGACGGAGAGAUUGGAGGUGAAGAGGAGCAGAAGACAUUGCCUGCAAGUCAAGAAUUGCAACUCCAUAACCCUCUGAAGCAAUACUAAGCGACAGCAGGUGAGGCAUAUUCUCUAGGGCAAUGCAUAGAUCCCUUCCAUUUUCUUUUUUCAAAUUCACGAUCCCCAGUUUCCUUAAUUGCUUCAACAUUCCAAUCUCAUUUAUUAAUUUCCGUUCAUGAUCGUCACCUGCAUUAAUUAAAAAGAGUGUUUGCAACAGCUCUAACUGCCCUAGGCUACCACGUACAAGGAGCCCGAAAACCCGUUUAGGAUUACCCAAAAGAUAUCGCAAUUUAGGGAAUCUGUUAACCUCAACUGGCAACCUGUCCACCAAGGAAGCACUCAAGUCUAAGAACUCUAGGUUUUGCAGCUUUCCUAUUGAUUUUGGAAGAUUUGACACCAGUGUCUCUCUUAAGCUUAAAUACUUCAGGUGUAGCAAAUUUCCCAACUCUUCUGGAAUUUCAUCUAUCGGACACUUUUCAAAAUCUAAUGUGGUCAAAAGCUUACAUUUUUCAAAUAUUGCAUCAAUUAUUGGCUUUUGCAGCUUUGCCCCGCAGAAGACCAUGACAGAGCGAGUUUGAGACCUGGUGCUUCCCUUUGGAUUGUCACUUCCUCCCUUGCUUAUGGACAUGUGUCGUGCUAUGCCUUUCAAAGCUGAGGAAUUCCAAGAAACAUGGCCGAAACUUAGUUCUUCUGACCUGGAAAGAAUGACGUCUCGUACCAGAUCAUGCACUCGACAUGUUUUGGGAAUUCCUUUCAUGCUAGCUUCAUCUACUUGGACUAGACUUCGACGAAUGAGUCCAUUCAAGCACUCUUCCGCGGCUUCUUCUAAUGUCAAUCCUCGUUUUUCCUGUACAAAACCUUGAGCCACCCAUAACCGAAUUAUUCUUGUACGUUUGAUGGAGAAAUCUUCGGGAAGCAUCCCGAAAUACAAGAAACAUGCUUUGAGGUCGUAAGGAAGGUCGUGAAAACUGAGGGAGAGAAUUUUAGUGACAUUCUCAACAUGAGGAUCACUCGCCAUUGUAGAAUCAAGACUAUUGACCACUUUUUGCCAUUCUGGAAUGACCCUUUCUUUGGUUGCUAGAAGUCCACCAACAGCCACAAUUGCCAGUGGCAAUCCUCCGCAUCUUCUAACAAUGUCUUGCGACAAUUCCUCCAAUCUUUUGGACAAUUCCCUUCAAAAUCAAACUUGAAUGCCUUUUUGCAGAAGAGUUCCAAGCUUCUCGUUGAGGGAGAGAUUUCAUCUGAUAGACAUGAACCAAUGAAGAUCUCCUGCAAAAGUUAGCAACAUCCUCAUUUCUUGUCGUGACCAGUAUUUUGCUACCUUUGUUGUUAUCCACCAAGGCAUGCUCCACAUCUCCCCAGAAGCGGAUUUCCCACACAUCAUCGAAUACAACUAAAUACCGUUCUUGCUGUAAAUAUUUUCUAAGUUCAUCAAUCAACGAUAAAGCGUCCAUUGUGACAAAGGCUCAGGAAAAGGCUCUUUCUUAGCUUCAUAUAAUUUCUUUAACGUGCUCCUUAAGAGUUCCACCCUGUCGUAUGAUUGAGACACAGUAAUCCAAGCACGGCAUUGAGAGUGUUGUUUCACUACGUAGCUGUCAUAUACUUUCUUUGCAAGAGUGGUUUUUCCCACUCCUCCCAUUCCAACCACCGCGAUCGCUGUCCUCUGACAUUCUCCGCUUACCAAGAGGCUUAUCAAUUCAUCUUUUGCAGAUUCAAUGCCAACAAGCUCGGAAUCUUCAAUGAAAUGAGAACCUAAUCGAGGAUCAUGCAAGACAAUGUUACUUGAGCCUCCUUGCUCUGAAGAUGCGAACCGGAAGCCUUCACUUCUGUCCUUGAUUCUCUGAAGAGUUUUUCUAACACCAUGAAUCUCUGAUGCGAUCUUAUGGCGUAGAGGCAAUUUCCGAACCAAUGAAGAGACUUUAGUUAAGAAGACUGCGAGUACACGCCGAUCACGAUGUUGUGCCACAUGAAGCGUAUUAUAUUCGUCAAUGACAUCUUCAAUCUGAUAAGCAACUUCCCUUGCUUGCUUUACCCAUACUUUCACACCUUCGCUCGCACCUUCUCUCUCAGCCUUUGAGUCUGCAUCUUUCAGAAAAGCUCUGAUGGCCUCCAGAUCAUCUUUGAUAUCUACAACUUCUUUGUAAACACCUUUCAGUAGUUGCACCCCUUGAGCUAGCAAUGGAGCCAACUUGUCAAUUACAAGACUCACUGCUGACUCUGCCAUUUUUUCUACUCCUUUCUAUUUGAUCUUCUUUG
Molecule: long non-coding RNA, 11430 nt
Filed under: Populus tremula
Lineage: Eukaryota; Viridiplantae; Streptophyta; Magnoliopsida; Malpighiales; Salicaceae
Description: long non-coding RNA (PTRE_LNC000559)
Source: RNAcentral